UCUCAUCUUUAUCUCCUAUCUUUCAGACUCCCAUCUGAGCUUGUUUUCAGACAGGACUUAAAAAUAGAAAAUAAAUGGCACAGUAGCCACAAGGGGAGGACUCAGAGCCUUUGAUUGCCAGAGGAUGAUAUUCCAUUUGAAGAAUAUUUGGCUCAUUUAAGCUGGAAAGACAUUGCAAGGAGUUGCAAAGUGAAAAGACAGAAAACAGCUACGUUCAGUUUCUUCACUUGUAUGAGAUUUCCUACUGCAUAGAAUAAUGGAAUCACCAAGACUGUAAAACACCUGCAAGGUAAUUGAGUUCUACUGUUAAUCCAGCAUCACUGUGUCCAUCACUAAAAUAUAUUCCCAAAUGCCACCUUCACACGCCUUUUGAACACAUACAGGGAUGGUAAUUUCAACAUUUCCCUGGGCAUCCUGUUUCAAUUCCUGACCAGGUUCCAUGGUAGGAAACAGAAAACCAGAGCUUUUUCAGCUCUUUCACUGUCUCUUUCCUGCCCGCCUGACAUUUGGGGAGCAGAGUAGCAAAUUCCCAUUUAUUUCUGCAUGGGCAGAUGUUUUUGUGACAUAAGAAGAUACUAGGCAAGAAAAAACAAUGCAACUGCAAGAAAGUAAAGGUCUUUGUUUAGAUCUGAAAUAAAAGAAAUGAAAUAAUUCA
RNAcentral lists this long non-coding RNA (655 nucleotides) under Cyanistes caeruleus (blue tit). Its description in RNAcentral is "lncRNA (ENSCCEG00000018611.1)". Lineage: Eukaryota; Metazoa; Chordata; Aves; Passeriformes; Paridae. The record is from RNAcentral.